GAGAUUCCCCCAGUAGCGGCGAGCGAACGGGGAGGAGCCCAGAGCCUGAAUCAGCAUGUGUGUUAGUGGAAGCGUCUGGAAAGGCGCGCGAUACAGGGUGACAGCCCCGUACACAAAAGCGCAUGUGUUGUGAGCUCGAUGAGUAGGGCGGGACACGUGGUAUCCUGUCUGAAUAUGGGGGGACCAUCCUCCAAGGCUAAAUACUCCUGACUGACCGAUAGUGAACCAGUACCGUGAGGGAAAGGCGAAAAGAACCCCGGCGAGGGGAGUGAAAAAGAACCUGAAACCGUGUACGUACAAGCAGUGGGAGCCCCACCACUAAGCCAGUGGUGAACUCCACAUACGCAUCCUUUGCUGAGGAUACGGUUAACGGAGCGAAAGCGACGUUCAACCGCAAAAGAAGCAGAGGGGGCUUAGUGGUGGGGUGACUGCGUACCUUUUGUAUAAUGGGUCAGCGACUUAUAUUCUGUAGCAAGGUUAACCGUAUAGGGGAGCCGUAGGGAAACCGAGUCUUAACCGGGCGUUAAGUUGCAGGGUAUAGACCCGAAACCCGGUGAUCUAGCCAUGGGCAGGUUGAAGGUUGGGUAACACUAACUGGAGGACCGAACCGACUAAUGUUGAAAAAUUAGCGGAUGACCUGUGGCUGGGGGUGAAAGGCCAAUCAAACCGGGAGAUAGCUGGUUCUCCCCGAAAGCUAUUUAGGUAGCGCCUCGUGAAUUCAUCUCCGGGGGUAGAGCACUGUUUCGGCUAGGGGGCCAUCCCGGCUUACCAACCCGAUGCAAACUGCGAAUACCGGAGAAUGUUAUCACGGGAGACACACGGCGGGUGCUAACGUCCGUCGUGAAGAGGGAAACAACCCAGACCGCCAGCUAAGGUCCCAAAGUCAUGGUUAAGUGGGAAACGAUGUGGGAAGGCCCAUACAGCCAGGAUGUUGGCUUAGAAGCAGCCAUCAUUUAAAGAAAGCGUAAUAGCUCACUGGUCGAGUCGGCCUGCGCGGAAGAUGUAACGGGGCUAAACCAUGCACCGAAGCUGCGGCAGCGA
RNAcentral lists this ribosomal RNA (1041 nucleotides) under Salmonella enterica subsp. enterica serovar Thompson. Its description in RNAcentral is "bacterial LSU rRNA". It matches the Rfam family "Bacterial large subunit ribosomal RNA", at positions 231 to 1211 of the family's 2925-position model. Lineage: Bacteria; Pseudomonadati; Pseudomonadota; Gammaproteobacteria; Enterobacterales; Enterobacteriaceae. The record is from RNAcentral.